Molecule: transfer RNA, 74 nt
Filed under: Deltaproteobacteria bacterium
Lineage: Bacteria; Pseudomonadati; Myxococcota; Myxococcia
Description: tRNA-Pro
Rfam family: tRNA
About the family: Transfer RNA (tRNA) molecules are approximately 80 nucleotides in length. Their secondary structure includes four short double-helical elements and three loops (D, anti-codon, and T loops). Further hydrogen bonds mediate the characteristic L-shaped molecular structure. tRNAs have two regions of fundamental functional importance: the anti-codon, which is responsible for specific mRNA codon recognition, and the 3' end, to which the tRNAs corresponding amino acid is attached (by aminoacyl-tRNA synthetases). tRNAs cope with the degeneracy of the genetic code in two manners: having more than one tRNA (with a specific anti-codon) for a particular amino acid; and 'wobble' base-pairing, i.e. permitting non-standard base-pairing at the 3rd anti-codon position.
Source: RNAcentral
CGGGGCGUGGCUCAGCCCGGUAGAGCGUUCCGUUCGGGACGGAAAGGUCGCUGGUUCGAAUCCAGUCGCCCCGA